GUAAACCAAGAUGGCGUCACGCGAAGAAGCAGUUACCGUUAAUUUACAGAGGAAGCAUUUUUGAGCAUUCCAGGACCCAAAAAAUAAUCUACCACAUCACACCAAAUAACACGUAAACCUAAACUCCCACUAGCACAGUGAAAACAGGAACCAUAUGAUGACUACACAGCCUACAUAAAGCAGAAACUACGUACUCUGCGGUUCACUUCCCAGAACCCGGAGGACAGCGAGUCUGCCUGCCUCCAUGUCGAGGGUCGGGAUUCACUGGCUGCUCUGGCUGCUGUGGUUGAUGUGGAAGGCUUGAGAGAGGACAUGAUGCUUGACUGCUUAGCCUCCAUAAUGGCUUGCUGCCAAACACUCAACGUACUUUCAAAAAGCAAAUCAUCUUUGGAUUUAUUUCGGUUAUGGAAAACAGAAAUGGUGAAACAGCUAAUCUGGAAAUGGCAUAGAAUUGGGCCGUCUCCUGCCUCGCUGAUGGAAAUUGUUCCAGUGUUUUUGAAGAAAAUUGUGGCACCACGUUGGUUCCAGGCCUUCCACUCAUUACAUGAGACCCCCUCACAUUAUUGCUGGUGAACUUCUUUACUCACAGUCAACUGAUUGUCGAUGUCAAUCACACUGAACUCUACCUUCACAACACCAGACGGACACGUAAUCGUCACAGUACGUGUAAGUGUAUAUGGAAUUUAUGUCUACCUUGUGGGAAUUAUUAUUUUGUAUAGCAUAAUUUGAAAAAUACAAUUCAAAUACAACUAUCCCUUGAUUUCAAAAGUCAAGACUUGCAGUAGGAAGUUUUUUAGUUACCUUGUUAACUUCAAAACAUUUCUCUAUAUUUAUAUUCUCACUUGGCCUUUAUCCAUAUCUCUUAGGACUUGUUUUCCCAUUUCCUCCUACCUCUCUGGAAAUUUCUAUAGGGAUGACUAGAUCUACUUUAAAAAAUGGCCUGACAUGAAUUCUCUUAUGACCAAGUAAUUUUCUAAAUGGUCAGCUUGAAAUCUUUAGCAACUAGGCCAUUUUCUAGAAAAGAUUUCUCAUAUUUUAACUGGGUUAACACUGAUGAGACUUCCCCAAUGAUCCCAAACAUUUUCCAUCAUUAACUGUUAGAGAGCAGGACCUCAGGAGAAUGGACCAGGACAUGUGCAAUGUCCCAGGUUUCUAUUGCUAAUAACAAACGACUCAAAAACUUAGUGGCAUAAAAUGAUACUGUUUUAUUGUACUCAUGGAUUCCAGGGUCCAAAACUCUGAUUAAGCACAGUAGGAAUGUUUUGUCUCUGCUCCACAGUAUCAGGGACACACAUUAUAAAGACUAAGAGCUGGGGGUAACCAAUAUGGCUAUGGAUUGAAAUGUCUGGCGCUGGAAGAUACUGAUCUGAGUAAUCUGUUGAUCAGAGCAACCAGACAUGACCUCUUUCUGUGGAUUGGGCUCCUCAGGACAUGGACACUGGCUUCUCAGAUGGGGUGCUCAGCAAUGAGCAUUCCAAGAGGCCAAAGCAGAAGCUGCAUGGCCCAUGACUUAGCCUCAGAAGUUACGUGGCAUUAUCUCUGCCAAAUCUGUCAGUCAAACAGUCACAAGCACCCCCUGAUUCAAGGGGAGAGGACAUAGACCCCAAUCUUGAUGGGAGGACAAUCAAAGUAUUCAGAUCCAUGAUUUAAAACGUCCAUAUAUAUUUCCUUUGGCAUUAAGUUCAAGGUCAGAGUUUGGAUUAAUUAAGCUGAGCCAAUUUGCAAGGGAAGGAGUCCCCUGUUGAGGGACUCUGAAAAGUACGAGAAUUCUGGAUCCUUUCAGAAAAAUGAUUAGAGGGAUCCCUUUUUAUCAUUUCUAACAUAUUCCCAUAAAUGUCUUGGCUAUUGAAUUUUCAGAUAUUAUGAAUGGGAAAAUAAUACAGUAUCCCCAACCCAUCCAAAAACUUUGAACAAGUUCCCCAAAUAGUACGGAAACC
This 1937-nucleotide long non-coding RNA is filed under the name Equus caballus (horse). Its description in RNAcentral is "lncRNA (ENSECAG00000030027.3)". Lineage: Eukaryota; Metazoa; Chordata; Mammalia; Perissodactyla; Equidae. The record is from RNAcentral.